Molecule: ribosomal RNA, 253 nt
Filed under: uncultured bacterium
Lineage: Bacteria
Description: partial 16S ribosomal RNA
Rfam family: Bacterial small subunit ribosomal RNA
Source: RNAcentral
UACGUAGGAGGCGAGCGUUGUCCGGAAUUACUGGGCGUAAAGCGCGCGUAGGCGGUCUUUUGCGUAGGCGGUGAAAGCCCCCGGCUCACCCGGGGGAGGUCCGUCUAAACGGGGAGACUCGAGGGCGGUAGGGGCUGGCGGAACGCCCGGAGUAGCGGUGAAAUGCGUUGAGAUCGGGCAGAACACCAGUGGCGAAGGCGGCCGGCUGGGCCGUUCCUGACGCUGAGGCGCGAAAGCCAGGGGAGCGAACGGA